RNAcentral lists this ribosomal RNA (404 nucleotides) under uncultured prokaryote. Its description in RNAcentral is "bacterial SSU rRNA". It matches the Rfam family "Bacterial small subunit ribosomal RNA", at positions 355 to 774 of the family's 1533-position model. The record is from RNAcentral.
UGGGGAAUAUUGGGCAAUGGGAGAAAUCCUGACCCAGCGACGCCGCGUGAACGAAGACGGCCUUCGGGUUGUAAAGUUCUUUUAUGUGGGAAGAACGAGAUGACGGUACCACAUGAAUAAGCCCCGGCUAACUACGUGCCAGCAGCCGCGGUAAUACGUAGGGGGCGAGCGUUGUCCGGAAUUACUGGGCGUAAAGGGCAUGCAGGCUGUUAAUAAAGUCGUGUGUUAAAAGAUGCGGCUCAACCGUGUUGUGCAUACGAAACUAAUUGACUGGAGUAUCGGAGAGGCAAGUGGAAUUCCCAGUGUAGCGGUGAAAUGCGUAGAUAUUGGGAAGAACAUCGGUGGCGAAGGCGACUUGCUGGCCGGUAACUGACGCUGAGAUGCGAAAGCCAGGGGAGCAAACG